This 2784-nucleotide long non-coding RNA is filed under the name Nicotiana benthamiana. Its description in RNAcentral is "long non-coding RNA (NBEN_LNC040209)". The record is from RNAcentral. Lineage: Eukaryota; Viridiplantae; Streptophyta; Magnoliopsida; Solanales; Solanaceae.
UUAUGUUUCUCCCCACACCGUCCCUGUUUUGCUGCCAAUGAACAGUAGGACCCACACAAGAUGGAAAGAAAUCUGACCGAAAACAUGUAAUUCCGAUGGUCUUCAUUGAAUCCGGCGAAGUAGAGGUCGAACCCAACAGUAAUUACAUCUCCAAGCUCUCUGAAACUCCACAAAACCAGUGUGCAAGUCAGCUCAAAAUCUCCACCCUAUUUCAGUCGAGUUGGGUCGUCUCAGUUCCCUUUGAGGUCGCCGACAAGGUCGUAGUUUGUUAGCUCCAGUCGAGUCCACCUGAAGCUUGUGUUGUCGUGUAUAUUGGAGGAUUUGUGUUCAUAUAUAAAAUAUUGGGCUUGAAGACUUGUGAUUUUGUUGUUGACAAGAUUUGAAUUCACUAAAGGUUCAUUCUACCUUUUCUUUACUAUUUCAGUCGUAAUAUCACUCUUCAUUGGAUUUCUUUGAUUUUGCCGCUGUCUGAUCAAUUGUUUGACUCAGUGUGUCAUUGUUAGUUGUUCUGUUUUGGUGGAAAGUUAAUAUUCUGGGUUUUUCAAUUUUUUGUGAUUGCUUGGAUUAUAGUAUGGGUGUGGAAAUUUCACUAUUAUUGCCUUUCUAUACCUAUAUGUUCUUCAAUGAUAACAUGAACUAUUCCACUAUUUUCUUUAAAUUUUCCUAAUUAAGAUGUUGAUUGGUUCGUUAGCCUUGAAUCCUUAAGCGUGGGCGUGUUCUGAUGCAGAAUGCUUGGAAAGCUAGAAGCAAAUUUACGGUUUGGGCCUUUCUAGAUGAUUAUAGGUUUAAUGUUGAAAAAGGGCUACAGGGCCAAACAUGUUAAUGCCAGGCCCAUUCCCUAAUGACACUUUAUUGAGCCAUUGUAGAGUUAGCUUGAUUUCAUGGAAUCAAUAAACCAUCUCACCUUUCCAUAAUUAAUUACUACACUUUCCCAUAAAUAAUUUCAUAAUUCACGGAUCGUUACGAUAAUCUCAAAGUUUAGGAAAAAUUACGAAUAUGUUGUAAUAUAUCAUUGUGAUUGUGGACACGUUCGCAUUAUGUAAUUGUGAUUCUAAUAAAACAAAAUCGAAGUAUGCGUUCGCGCAACUUUGGCCAAACCUUUUUUUAUGAUAAAGUGUUAUUAAUUGUGGACAGGUUGGCAUGACAUAUUUUUGACGCACCAAACGAAUGGGUAUACGUACACGUAAUCCAUUACAAGAUACUUUUCUUAAUUAAAAGCGAUGAAAAAGGCAAGAUCACAUAUGUUCUGAAAUGGGUAAGUAAAAAAAUUUAAUAAGCUAAGUAUGAUUAGAGUGACCGUGCUAGAACCACAGAAUUUGGGAGUGCAAAAAACCUUCUCCCGGAUUAAUAGAAUUCCUUACCAAGAUUUUUGUGUUCGCAGAUAAAACCAGAGUCAAUCUUUUCCUCGAUUCAGCAUUUAAAACUGGUGACUUGGGACACUUUAAAUUAUCUCAAGUGGCGGCUCUGAAUUUAAUAAAUAAAUAAUCUUGUUUCGAUUGUCACUUUAAGUUGGAAAAAAACUCCCUUUAUACACCUUUCAAGGGGUGUAGUGAAAAAGCAACGUGUGACAGCUUUAGCGAAUCUGCUGGGGAUCGAAUCCAGAAUCUCUGGUCCAGGGUUAAGAAAUUUAGCUUGUUAUAUAAUUUUUACUUGGCUUUAUUUAUUGCUAAUAUCACUAUAUUCUGUGAACCAUUUUAUGCUAAAUGCUAUCUGUUUACCGCUUUAAUAUUGUUUUAAUUAUAUAUAACUAUCUUCCUACGUCCCCUCUUUGAGUCUUCUGGAAAUGGUGCAUACGUUCGCGUAACCCGCUUUUUUAUAGAAAUUAUACCAAAUAGAACGAGGCUGGGCAAGCGGCAAGGCCGAGUAGACUUCAAUGCUCCUGGUACGCCCCCUCUACGGCCCCAGUUGUCCGCUCGGGUACCCCAAGUCUAGACCAAAACCCCAAGAUUUAAACCUACAAGAAUACAGCCUCAUUCCAGAUCCCUAGUAGGAGCGCUUGUUUUGAUCAUAUGAAUUUGACUUAGGGGACUCAAUACAAGGGUUGGGUCUAUUUAGGACAGGUGUACCCGAAAUAACAGACCAUCCUAACGCAUCCUAUGUGCUACAUAUUGCAUUUCUUAAGGUUAAAAGGAUCAUUUGACGGACCAAUAAAAGUUAAAAGCAUAUGAAAAGAAAGAAGAAAAAAGGAAAAGAAAAGAAGCGGGUGAAGGGUGAAAAUAAAAAGCAAGUAGGGCCUAGUUAUGUUUUGUUACAUUUUUAUUGAGGAAAAAAAAGCAUCAAAAAUUCAAAACGAUUUUGCAUUUUUUUAACAUUUUUAAAAAAUCAAAAAUCAAAAAAAGGGGGAAAAGAAAAUCCAAAAAGAAUUUAAAAGUUUCUUCAUUUUUUUAAAAAAAAAAAAAGAUAAAAGAAAAUAUUUUCUCUAAUAUUAGCUGUUUUUUUAAAUUCUUUCCCUUAUCCAAUUUGCCCAAACUACUCGUACCUGAUUCUCGUCUUUCUGGGCGUGAUGUGUAGGCAACCCACAUAGGGUCUAGUAUUCCUAGUAAACCUUAGCUUUUUGGCUUUGGAAGGUCUUAGCCAAAUUUUGGACUUCUAGCCACCUUUUGGCUAAAAGUCAUUUUGCAAAAAUAAUUGCAACCAUGUCUUGCAUGUUUAUAAUAGAGAAUAUUAUUGUCUCACAUAGUGUUGGUUUAAGUUUUCUCAUAAAGGUGUGAAUUUACCUACUGGAGUUUGAGCAUGAUAGAUACCCCAGAAUCACUCAUUCAGGAGCUGCCCGAGGAGCCAUUU